Molecule: long non-coding RNA, 1334 nt
Filed under: Homo sapiens (human)
Lineage: Eukaryota; Metazoa; Chordata; Mammalia; Primates; Hominidae
Description: HSALNT0375453
Source: RNAcentral
UAACUCCUGACCUCAAGUGAUCCGCCCACCUCGGCCUCCCAAAGUGCUGGGAUUACAGGCAUGAGCCACCGCUCCGGGCCCUUGCACAUAUUUUUUUAUGAACACACAGGCAGCAGCACUUUGAUUACAGUAACUUACAUGGAAGUUAUUUUAAAAUGGCUUUCCCCUUCUCUUUUUCAUGUAGGCUGCAUUUUUCAUCUGCAGCACGCUUUCUCUCAAGAAUCUCAAGCACACACAAGAAACCAGAGAGUAAAAUCACUGAGGCGUGAACACAUCCAGAGACCAAGGGCGUCACUGGCAGAAAAGCUUUUAGGCGGAUCCACGGCCCGAGAGCCACCCUGCCCAGAGACGCGGUUUCCUAGGAGCAGUUCACACGCGGCUCUGCAGCACCCACAAGCGGGGCCAGGGGCUGGUUUUCAUAGUUCACAGUCUGCAGGGAUCUUAACAAAAACAUGGCCGUGGUAAAAGUGCCUAGACCAGGCUUUCGUCACAACUCAGUGAGUAGGAAGACUAGUUAGGCUGAUGAAAAGCUCUGAUGAUGUGUGAUUAAAAGUAGGAAAACGUGGUUGCCAAAUAAAAUAUUUUACUAUAUAGUCAGGGGGAGAGAUGGGGAUAAAAAAAUGUGGAAACCAUUUAUUUUAAAAUUUUGACUGUUCCUGCAGUGUUUAAAAUAUAGGAGAUAUAUUCUGAUUAUCUUUAGAAAGAAACUGCUCUCAAUCUAUUUGUAUGUCUUCCCUCUGGUUUUAAAAUAUUAAACAAUCAUCUAACUCAAUAUUUAAUUUUACCUCUAGUCAUGUUACUAGGUUAGGAUAAUAAAAAGGACUGUGAACUUCACAUCUGCCAUCUAUAAUAGAUUCUUAUUGUAGCAAUCUUGCACCAAGGGGAUUUCUUUAUUAACUCUGCCAAAUUUUCCAAAAUUACCAAAUGGAGAAAAGAGCUGGUCCCAUCUGUCACCAGGCACAACCAGGAAGUGUCAGAAGACUUUCAGAAGCACAUGCAGUUGCAGCUCCAGUGUUUCAACAGUUGCCCAUUUCCAAGGCCUCCUAAAUACGUAUGAGGCCUGUGGACAACUUUCUCCUCAGCUGUUACAGAACCUGGACAACUUGUAGUGAAGACCUUCCACACCAGUAACAUAUUUUGGUGAGCCAGUCGGGAGUUGGCUAGAUUAGUUCCCCAGUCUGUCUUCUCGCCACUCUGGAUGUCCACAUGAGAGGACCCAAGCACGAAUGGUUAGAAAGAUGAACUUGGAACCUCAGACGAGAAUAUGAGAAACAUAAACAGAGACAUAUGACAACCUAAAAAAUGGAGUACAAUACCAAUAAGAAUAACGAUUA